RNAcentral lists this ribosomal RNA (1462 nucleotides) under uncultured prokaryote. RNAcentral describes it as "partial 16S ribosomal RNA". It matches the Rfam family "Bacterial small subunit ribosomal RNA". The record is from RNAcentral.
AUUGAACGCUGGCGGUAUGCCUAACACAUGCAAGUCGAGCGGAAACGAUGGGAGCUUGCUCCCAGGCGUCGAGCGGCGGACGGGUGAGUAACGCGUGGGAAUCUAUCCAGUAGCGGGGGAUAGCCCGGGGAAACCCGGAUUAAUACCGCAUACGCCCUACGGGGGAAAGCAGGGGAUCUUCGGACCUUGCACUAUUGGGUGAGCCCGCGUCGGAUUAGCUAGUUGGUGGGGUAAAGGCCUACCAAGGCGACGAUCCGUAGCUGGUCUGAGAGGAUGAUCAGCCACACUGGGACUGAGACACGGCCCAGACUCCUACGGGAGGCAGCAGUGGGGAAUAUUGCACAAUGGGCGCAAGCCUGAUGCAGCCAUGCCGCGUGUGUGAAGAAGGCUCUAGGGUUGUAAAGCACUUUAAGCGAGGAGGAAAGGAUUGUAGUUAAUAGCUACGAUCUGUGACGUUACUCGCAGAAUAAGCACCGGCUAACUCCGUGCCAGCAGCCGCGGUAAUACGGAGGGUGCAAGCGUUAAUCGGAAUUACUGGGCGUAAAGCGCGCGUAGGCGGCUAUUUAAGCUAGAUGUGAAAGCCCUGGGCUCAACCUGGGAACUGCAUUUAGAACUGAAUAGCUAGAGUAUGGUAGAGGAGUGUGGAAUUUCAGGUGUAGCGGUGAAAUGCGUAGAGAUCUGAAGGAACAUCAGUGGCGAAGGCGACACUCUGGACCAAUACUGACGCUGAGGUGCGAAAGCGUGGGUAGCAAACAGGAUUAGAUACCCUGGUAGUCCACGCCGUAAACGAUGCUACUAGCCGUUGGGUUCCUUGAGGACUUAGUGGCGCAGCUAACGCAUUAAGUAGACCGCCUGGGGAGUACGGCCGCAAGGUUAAAACUCAAAUGAAUUGACGGGGGCCCGCACAAGCGGUGGAGCAUGUGGUUUAAUUCGAUGCAACGCGAAGAACCUUACCAGCUCUUGACAUCCUGCGAACUCUCUAGAGAUAGAUUGGUGCCUUCGGGAACGCAGUGACAGGUGCUGCAUGGCUUUCGUCAGCUCGUGUCGUGAGAUGUUGGGUUAAGUCCCGCAACGAGCGCAACCCUUGUCCUUAGUUGCCAGCACGUAAUGGUGGGAACUCUAAGGAGACUGCCGGUGACAAACCGGAGGAAGGUGGGGACGACGUCAAGUCAUCAUGGCCCUUACGUCUUGGGCUACACACGUGCUACAAUGGGGAAUACAAAGGGUUGCCAAGCAGCGAUGUGGAGCUAAUCCCAUAAAAUUUCUCGUAGUCCGGAUUGGAGUCUGCAACUCGACUCCAAGAAGUCGGAAUCGCUAGUAAUCGUGAAUCAGAAUGUCACGGUGAAUACGUUCCCGGGCCUUGUACACACCGCCUGUCACACCAUGGGAGUGGGUUGCUCCAGAAGUGGUUAGCCUAACCUUCGGGAGGGCGAUCACCACGGAGUGAUUCAUGACUGGGGUG